AAUGAUUUUUUGGAAUCAAAACACGUGUUACAUAAUAUAGGAAUCUUGCUUCAGUUUGAACUUAUUUGGUUUUGUUUUUUUUUGUUUAUCAUGAAGAAAAGAUAAGGCAUGAAAAAUGAGUUGAAGUGAAUUUCUCCAAAGAUCUAGUAGUAGUCCAAGUGAUCUAAAUUGUGUAAGUCCCUGUGAACCAGAUACUCCACAUUGUGAUGCUGGGAUCGGAAGUAAUUUUUUAAAAAAUGUAUAUGCUUGAAAGAAAACCAUAAUCUGUGAAUAAAUCGUAUUCAUUACUUAAAUUCCAUCUAAACUCAGUGCGGAUUCUUAGUUACUUGAUACUUAAAUUAGUGUAGUACACAAGUCUUUCUUGGACAUAGAACACAGUACAAAUCAAGAUAGUAGAUACACUACAAGUCUAGUCCAGUACAAAUCAAGAUAGUAGAUACACUACAAGUCUACAAUCAUACAACAGCUUGGCUACCUCUUUUAAAGGAUAGCGUCCAUCGCUUCCAACCAGCACAAUGGUAAGAUAAAAUUAUCAAUAAUAAUAAUCCAAAUCAAACAUUUGAAAAUCUCAGCAAUGCAGGCUAAUUAUAUGUGCAAAACAUAUAUAGUAUUACAGUUUUGUUUUCUUCACCUAAUGUCACAUAUAUCUAGUACAAAGAUAAGAACAAAAAGUUUAGAUGCACUAUAAUAUUCGAAAUUCUAUAUUAAAUGGUGACAACUUGAUAUGCUUUGAUAUUAUGGAAAGGUUGAAAAUAUUUAUUUAUCUUAUUAAAACCAAAGAGAUUUUGUUGCCAAAAAUGUGCCAAAGAGAUCUAUACGGAUUAGCUUAUAAAUUUUUGAAAUGUAAUAAACUUGUGUUGUCAAAGUCAUGGUCAAACAUUUCCAUAUUCUAAUCAUGCUUUCCAUAUUGGAUUAAAUUCAUGGUCAAAUCAAAUCUAAUAUUAACUCUUCAAGAUAUCUGGUCAAACCAUAACGUACCAUUGCACUAUAUAAAGAACGAUGAAGAAUUGUUAGCAAAAUUAUAAUAUUUUCUUUGGAGAAUGAAGAACGUUUCCUUCAAAUUUAUGUUCUUGGUUGCUCUUGUUUCUCUUGUCUUUCGACAAGAUCUCGUGGAGGGUAGGGCAUUGGUUCCAAAUAGAGGCGGCGGGAAUUAUCACGACCCGGUUUGUAACCCGUAUGAUCCCAACUGCGUCAAACCUUGUAAUCCAGAGAAUCCAAAUUGCGCCAUGAAACAAGGUGACAUGGAUACAAAUAAAGCCGACGGGAACUAUCACGACCCGCCUUGUGACCCGUAUUAUGAUCCAAAUUGCGUCAAACCCUGUAAUCCAGAGAACCCAAAUUGUUAAUAGAACUAAGGCAUUGGAUAAGGUCUAAUAGGAUAUUUAUUAAAUAAAAUGUGAAUGUA
This is a long non-coding RNA of Brassica napus (rape), 1405 nucleotides long. RefSeq lists it as uncharacterized. The transcript has 2 exons. Lineage: Eukaryota; Viridiplantae; Streptophyta; Magnoliopsida; Brassicales; Brassicaceae. The record is from RefSeq and is a predicted model, not a curated record.